RNAcentral lists this small RNA (450 nucleotides) under Malus domestica (apple). RNAcentral's name for it is "sRNA MD09G0165400". The record is from RNAcentral. Lineage: Eukaryota; Viridiplantae; Streptophyta; Magnoliopsida; Rosales; Rosaceae.
AUGAAGUACAUGAAUAAUGGGUGCUCUCUAAUGAAAGUGAGGGAUUCCCUUUUAUAGAAUAAGGGCUCACUCCUCAAUACAUAAGUGAUGGGCUAGAGUCCCCCAAAUAUUUUUCAUGAGGCCCAGUUGAGGCCCAAUAUAUGGUACAUAAUGUAGUCCCCCAAGUCUUCGGUCAAUAGAGUCUGUUGGCUGGAGACUUCAAAUUGAAUCCAUGUAUGGGCCGAAGUGGCGGUUGUUCGGAGGCGGUCUUUGUAGACCAUGCACUGAAGCUUUGUAAGUGAAGCUUUGCAAGUGAAGCUUUGAAGCUAUAGCUCUGUAAAUGAAUCUUUUGAAGCUGAUUGACAUGAAUGAUGCUCAUGAAUGUUUAUGUUGAUUGACAUGAGUGAUGCUCAUGGAUGUUAACAUGAGUGAUGCUCAUGAAUGUUAACAUGAGUGAUGCUCAUGAAUGUU